This 562-nucleotide unclassified non-coding RNA is filed under the name Hevea brasiliensis (rubber tree). Lineage: Eukaryota; Viridiplantae; Streptophyta; Magnoliopsida; Malpighiales; Euphorbiaceae. The record is from RNAcentral.
CUUUUAAAGCUGUCUCCAAGGCAUUCCAGUGUCUUAGCAAUGAAGAAAGCCGGAAGAAGUAUGAUCUGACUGGGAGUGACGAGCCUGUUUAUGAGAGACGCGCUCCAAGGCAUCAUGGAGGGCAGGGAGGAUACAAUGGGUAUCAUGAUGAUUUUGAUCCGGACGAGAUUUUCAGGCAAUUCUUCUUUGGUGGAAUGCCACCUGCGACUACCCAAUUCAGAAGUUUCAAUUUUGGGAGAGGCAUGGGGCCGAGAACAGGUGAUAAUGCAUCUGGGUUUAACUUGCGUGCAUUGAUUCAGUUGCUGCCUGUUCUCGUCAUCUUGCUUUUGAACUUUUUGCCGUCUUCAGAGCCAAUUUACUCGCUUUCCAGGUCAUAUCCUUAUGAAUACAGGUUCACUACUCAGAAAGGGGUUAAUUUUUAUGUGAAGAAUACCAAAUUUGAGCACGAUUAUCCACCAGGUAGCCAGGAAAGGGCAACAUUGGAAGGGAAAGUGGAGAGGGAUUAUGCAUCUGUUCUUGCCCAGAAUUGCAGAUUUGAGUUGCAGAGGCAGCAGUGGGGUUU